GAGUUUGAUCCUGGCUCAGGACGAACGCUGGCGGCAUGCCUAACACAUGCAAGUCGAACGAGAAAGUUCCUUCGGGAGCGAUUAAAGUGGCGCACGGGUGAGUAACGCGUAGACAAUCUGCCCUUCAGUCUGGGACAACUUUUCGAAAGGAGAGCUAAUACCGGAUAACAAUGUUUAACCUAAGUUAAGUAUUUGAAAGCUUUAUGUGCUGAAGGAGGGGUCUGCGUCCCAUUAGCUAGUUGGUGAGGUAAAGGCUUACCAAGGCGACGAUGGGUAGCGGGUUUGAGAGGACGAUCCGCCACACUGGAACUGAGACACGGUCCAGACUCCUACGGGAGGCAGCAGUGCGGGAAUAUUGCACAAUGGAGGCAACUCUGAUGCAGCAAUGUCGCGUGAGUGAAGAAGGCCCUUGGGUCGUAAAGCUCUUUUAUGGGGGAAGAUAAUGACGGUACCCCAAGAAUAAGCACCGGCUAACUAUGUGCCAGCAGCCGCGGUAAUACAUAGGGUGCGAGCGUUGUUCGGAAUUACUGGGCGUAAAGGGCGCGCAGGCGGAAUAGUAAGUCGGAGGUGAAAGCCCGGGGCUCAACCCCGGAGGGUCUUUCGAAACUGCUAAUCUAGAGAGGGUCAGGGGCCGGCAGAAUUCCUGGUGUAGAGGUGAAAUUCGUAGAUAUCACGAGGAAUACCGGUGGCGAAGGCGGCCGGCUAGGGCCACUCUGACGCUGAGGCGCGAAAGCGAACAGGAUUAGAUACCCUGGUAGUCCACGCCGUAAACGAUGAGCACUGGACGUCCGGAGGGUUCGACCCUUCUGGGUGUCUCAGCUAACGCAUUAAGUGCUCCGCCUGGGGAGUACGGUCGCAAGACUAAAACUCAAAGGAAUUGACGGGGGCCCGCACAAGCGGUGGAACAUGUGGUUUAAUUCGAUGCAACGCGAAGAACCUUACCUGGUCUUGACAUCCUCGGACCGCUUCAGAGAUGAAGCUUCCUCUUCGGAGGCCGAGCGGCAGGUGCUGCAUGGCUGUCGUCAGCUCGUGUCGUGAGAUGUUGGGUUAAGUCCCGCAACGAGCGCAACCCCUACCCUUAAUUGCCAUCGGGUUAUGCCGGGCACUUUAGGGGGACUGCCGGUGACAAGCCGGAGGAGGGUGGGGAUGACGUCAAGUCCUCAUGGCCUUUAUGUCCAGGGCUACACACGUGCUACAAUGGCUGGUACAAAGAGUCGCAAGACCGCGAGGUGGAGCUAAUCUCAUAAAACCAGUCUCAGUUCGGAUUGGAGUCUGCAACUCGACUCCAUGAAGUUGGAAUCGCUAGUAAUCGUGGAUCAGCAUGCCACGGUGAAUACGUUCCCGGGCCUUGUACACACCGCCCGUCACACCAUGAAAGCCGACUGUACCAGAAGUCAUGAUGCCAACCUUCGGGAGGCUAGUGCCUAAGGUGUGGUUGGUGAUCGGGGUGAAGUCGUAACAAGGUAGCCGUAGGGGAACCUGCGGCUGGAUCACCUCCUUUCU
This 1503-nucleotide ribosomal RNA is filed under the name uncultured organism. RNAcentral's name for it is "bacterial SSU rRNA". It matches the Rfam family "Bacterial small subunit ribosomal RNA". The record is from RNAcentral.